This 5446-nucleotide unclassified non-coding RNA is filed under the name Oryza sativa Indica Group (long-grained rice). RNAcentral describes it as "non-coding transcript". The record is from RNAcentral. Lineage: Eukaryota; Viridiplantae; Streptophyta; Magnoliopsida; Poales; Poaceae.
CGCUCUCGCACUCGCACUCGCGCUCGUGUGGGUUCCCUUCUCGGCUUCUCCGAGGCGAGGGCUUGGCUGCAGGCUAAAACCCUCUCCGCCCCCACCCCCCGCGCGGUGGCUAGGGUUUUAGGGCGAGGGUGGGAGGAGGCAGGCAGGCGCGCGCGCGCGCGCGGGUGUUCAGGUGAGGGGGAGGAGGGCUCUGAUCCCGUCUCCGCAAUGUGGGGGGCGCUGGGUUACUCGCAGAAAUGGGGGGAAAGGGGAUGUGGUUGGUUGUUUGUCUGUUCAUCGUCGCUUGUUGUGGGGGGUUUGGGUUUCCCCGAGGGAAGGGAAGAUUUGGGUCGUGCGGAGAGGCGUGGGUUAUUCAAUUUUGGUGCACUUUGAUAUGCCUUUUUGUUUCCCAACUAAGGGGUUCUAUCUCAUGUAUGAUAAAUGUUCACCGGAGUAAUCCGUGUGGGUUUGGGGGGAAGUUUGUGGUGUGCUGGGAAUCUAAACGAAUCCUGAUGAUUGUGCGAAAUGUUUUUUUAGUUAGGGGAGGGGAGGGGAUCCUGGUGAGCAUCCGCAUCCUCUUUCUGAUGAUUCAUCUCUCACUCUACCACCUGGAGUGCUUUUGUGUGGAAUUUGCUCGCGUUCGUUCGUUAACCCUAGCUUCUCUUCUAGAUCUGGAAGAAGCUCUUUCUCUUAAUUUCAGAGCCUUAACCUUGAUACAAGUAACAGUUUGUUUGUACUUUUGGAUCUUCCCCUGUUGUUGGGUGUACUUUUGGUGGGUCGUAGUAGGAUGCUAGAGCUAAGAUGAAACAGAAGGAAAUGCAGCUUCAGCGGUAGGAGUAACCUAAUAUUAGCUUAGCCACUUUGCCCUAAUUAACUUGCUUGGAGACAAGGGCACACUCUCUAAGGGAAUAUAUUUGUUAGUGCACCCAUUAGGAAAAGGAAACAAAUGAUUAAAAUCAAAAGCAAGUUUGAUUUGGAGUGGUAUUUUCCGAGAAGCCAACAAAUAAUUACAGCGGUUUUUAUCCUACGUUUGCGAAUUUGAGGUUGCUGUUUUCUGUUUGUUUCUGCUAUUUCUUGUUGUUUAAUUGGAGCUAAUGGUGGGUUCUAGCUUGUUGGUAUUACCGGUUCUUUCUUUUCAAUUCUUUUUACGGACACAGCCAUGUCCCUUUGUCUAUUUCAGAUAGAUGGAGGAGGACCAGUCAGCAAUUCCGGUUGCUGAAGGUGCCAUCAAGAGCAUCAAGCUUAGCCUAUCCACUGAGGAUGAGAUUGUAAGUUCUCCUUCUCUGAUGCUUUUUACCAGCAAUGCUUGCAGAAAGAGAUGCAUGCAGAAGCGACAACUUGGUCAUUGUGAUCCAUUAGAGACAGUACCGUCUGAUAAGGGAGCAUAUGAUUGAUGUAACUACUCUUGAUGAUGAGAUCUAGAAACCCUCCUUUUCUCUAUCAUUUAUAUUUGAUAUCAUUUGCGAAUGGACCUCUAGCUGAGUUGGUUAGGUGGCUCUAGUAGCACUCCUCAGGUCCUGGGUUCGACUCCUUGUGGGAGCGAAUUUCAGGCUGGGGUUGAAAAAAAAUCCCCUCGUUUGUCCCACGCCAAAGCAUAGGUCUAAGGACCAGCCUAUUUUCACGGGUUACGGUGCUGCUGUGUAAGGGUGGGGCAAGGGUUCGGGGGUUUUCUUGACCUGCCUGUGCCGCUGUGUAAGGGGGGUUAGGGGGUUUUCUUGACAUGCGUGAGAAGGUCUUACCCUCCCUCCCCCGUCAGGUCAAGUUUUAUAUUUGAUAUCAUUCAAUUAGAUUUACCUAUGAUGCAUGAUCUGUGCUAUUCAAUCGCAAUGCAAAAUUUGAAUUUGUAAGAUUAAUUUUAUCAAGAUGAGUGUUGCUAUGAGAGCUUUUCUUUUUGACCUUUACUUUUGCAAUGUAAAGAUGAAUGUUGUUUGUUAGUUAAUACUGAAAUCUGACAUUUUCUUUUGCAUCUGGAAGUGCUGAUACAUGGGCUUUUUCGCUAACUAACGGAGCUGUUUUACAUUUUGUGGAUUUAAAUACUUGAUGUUGCAUUCUUCUACUUGAUUCAUAUGAAUUUAGCCUUCUUUUUUUUUGUAUUUUUUGUUUCUCAUGAAUAUGGCAAGGAUAUAUCCUGCACAGUUCCCAUUUAUAUUUCCUACUGUAAUACUAUGUUUUUUAUUUCCAACAUGACUGAUACACACCUUUCUGUCCUGCAGCGUACUUAUUCUAUAAAUGACUGUCCUGUCACUCAUCCUAGUCAGCUCGGAAAUCCCUUCCUUGGGUUACCUUUGGAGACAGGAAAAUGCGAGUCCUGUGGUGCCUCAGAAAAUGGAAAAUGCGAAGGUUCUCACAUGAUGACUUCUCAUUAGUUUUUCAUGCCCAAGAUAUUGUUCUGUAGCAACUGACAAUCCACUUUUCUCUUCUUUAAAACCAAAAUUAUCUGCUUAUUUAGGGCAUUUCGGGUACAUUGAGCUGCCUGUGCCUAUAUAUCACCCUUGCCAUGUAACGGAACUGAGGCAGAUAUUAAAUGUGGUAUGUUUGAAAUGCCUCCGCGUCAAGAAAGGAAAGGUACAUACAGGUCAAAGCAGCUAAGUCUUAAUUUUCUAAAUCCAAUUGUCUUACUUUGGCUUAUAAUUAAUGUGAUCUUACCAUGUAUCAGGUCAAACAGACAGAGGGAAAGGAUAACACAUCAGCAUUGUCAUGCUACUAUUGUCGGGUACUUUCCAACCCCAACAAUUUUGUAUAUCCCUUCUGCCUUGAAGUAGACAGACAUAAUAUUUCAUUGUUUGACAUGUAUAAGUAGUAGGAAUAUGGAACAUAUGCCUCUCGAAGAACCAAGUAUACCAGUGUUUUAAGUUUAAUCCACUCAUACAUAGUCCGGAUGUUACAGCUUAGUUGGUUUUAAAUUGAUCAAAAUCUGCUUGGGCAAAACAUAGCCAAUGUUACUGACAUAGCUGUUGCAGUAUUCACUCAGUAAUCCUAUCCAUACAUAUGCUUUCACUUAUAUAUUAAGUUACGGAAUAAGUUUUAUGUUGCAUUCUUUUGCAAUAAAACCAUUGAUUGCAAAGUUUUUUUGUCUACACAGAGAAUGAGUGACAGACUAGCACUGUAUUCAGUUUUAUGUUUGUUCAGUAACAUGUCGUCGUUGAAAACAGUACACAGGAUCAAAGUUAUGCUGUAUGAUGGAGUGUUAUUGGAACUUGUAAGAUGUGGCCAACAAUCAUGACAUAAGCAUUACUAUAUCAUGUUUUUAUUAGUUUUUUAGCGUAUGGCUUUUGGUAUACAGCUUUAGUUGUUUUUAUUAGAUGCUAGCCUUGACACUAUAAACAUUUACAAUCCGGAUGAGUGGCAACUGAUGUUCAUCGCCAUUUACUUCUUUAGGAUCUUCCGGCAUUAUCUUUGAAAGAAAUCAAAACAGCAGAUGGUGCAUUUCGUUUAGAGUUGAAAAUGCCUCCUAGGAAAUUCAUGACAGAAGGCUCAUGGAACUUCCUUGACAAGUAUGGAUUUCACCAUGGUGGAACCUCCCACUGCAGGACCUUGCUCCCGGAAGAGGUUAAUCUCAUUUACUUUAUUUUUAUGACUUCUGUAAGCUCCUAAAUAUCCAACAACCUACAUGAUCGUCUGUCAUUCCUGUAUCGUUUGCUAGGCUCUCAAUAUAUUGAAGAAAAUUCCUGAAGAAACGAAGAGGAAACUAGCUGCUCGUGGUUACAUUGCUCAAUCUGGAUAUGUGAUGAAAUACCUCCCCGUGCCACCAAAUUGUUUAUACAUUCCAGAAUUUACAGAUGGGCAGAGCAUCAUGUCCUAUGUGAGUUCUUCCUCACGUUUGUUCUUCAUAAUUUUCCUGACUGGUUCAAUUCUAUGUCAUGGCUUAUUAUACUUGCUUCUCAUAUCAGGACAUAUCAAUAUCUCUGCUGAAGAAGGUGCUUCAGAAAAUAGAGCAGAUAAAAAAGUCAAGAGCUGGAUCCCCAAACUUUGAAUCACAUGAAGUUGAAUCAUGUGAUCUACAGCUCUCUAUUGCCCAGUACAUACAUCUAAGGGGCACUACAAGGGUAUGUUGCAUGAUCUUAAUGUGAUAGUUUAUUUACCAUAUUUACAUGAGAGCAUGUUCAGGAGAGUCCUGUCUCAGCUAGAGAAUUGCUCCAGAGAGUAGCUCAUCUGCUCACACACAAAUUGGUCACUUGUUUUGUAAUCGUAAUUGUCACCAAGCCAUGAAUUAGGAUCGACUAGUUGUCAACUGCAUUUGCACAGGCUGUCGACUUAAGCUCAUUUUUACAACAAUUUCAAUACUCCUUAUAGUAACCAAACUAAAAAUAUGAAUUUACAUUUGACUUCAUAUUAAUAUAAUUAUAAUGACUGAGCACAUGCAUACAAGGGAUUUUGAUUCAUAAAUCUCUCAGAAGAUAGCAACAAAUGACCAAGCAUAUCCAUAUGGGUUGGGUUGAUCUUGUGUCGGGUUGAUCCUGUGCAUGAGUAUACACUGUGGAUGGUUAUCAUUGAGGAUGAACGGUCUGCUAUUGUGCGUCUAUGUGCACCCUUUAUUAGAGAAAACAGCCAUGCAAACCAUGCAUGCAUUGUCAGUGAAUUCAUAAUUUCAUAUUGCAUAGGACGUCCGUCAUGAUCAUAGACACACUAAGCAAAACUGCUCAUUUCCCUACAUUAACUAUAUUAUCGAACUCCCUUAUAGCUAUUAAACCCGAAACUACAACAUUUCUAUAGUAGUUGGACCUGAAAAGGUUCAUGAAAUUCAUCAACUAUUAGUUCAUGUUAAAGCUUUCUUCCAUAGGUUUAUGUUUUACAACCGUUCUCUCCCAGUAGUUGUGUGCAAUCACUUAUUUAGUCUUGUUUCUUUUGUCCCACGGUAAUGUUGUCUUGCAGGGUCCUCAAGACAACACCAAGAGAUUUGCAAUCAGUACUGAUCCUUCUGCGUUAUCAACAAAACAAUGGCUGGAGAAGAUGAGAACAUUAUUUAUCAGCAAAGGGUCAGGGUUUUCAUCACGCAGUGUACUUACUGGAGAUCCAUAUAUUGGAGUAGAUGUGAUUGGACUGCCUUCUGAAGUGGCAAAAAGAAUCACUUUCGAAGAGCAGGUAACAGACAUCAACCUUAACAGGUUGCAAGAGAUUGUGGAUAAGGGAUUGUGUUUGACCUACAGAGAUGGCCAGGCAACCUAUGCCAUCACCGUUGGAUCCAAAGGUCACACUACCCUGAAAGUCGGACAGACUAUCAGUAGGAGAAUUGUUGAUGGGGAUGUUGUUUUCCUUAACCGUCCACCCAGUACCCACAAGCAUUCCCUCCAGGCAUUUCGCGUGUAUGUCCAUGAAGACCAUACGGUCAAGAUCAAUCCGCUCAUAUGCGCACCUUUUGCAGCGGACUUUGACGGUGAUUGUGUGCACAUCUAUUAUCCACAGUCCCUUGCUGCAAAAGCUGAAGCACUGGAGCUUUUCAGUGUGGAGAAGCAGCUUACCAGUUCGC